GAUGAACGCUGGCGGCGUGCCUAAUACAUGCAAGUCGAGCGAACAGACGAGGAGCUUGCUCCUCUGUCGUUAGCGGCGGACGGGUGAGUAACGCGUGGAUAACCUACCUAUAAGACUGGGAUAACUUCGGGAAACCGAAGCUAAUACCGCAUAAUAUAUUGAACCGCAUGGUUCAAUAGUGAAAGACGCUUUUGCUGUCACUUAUACAUGGAUCCGCGCAGCUUUAUCUGGUUGGGAAGUAAACGGCUUACCAAGCCAAGGAUGCGUAGCCGACCUGAGAGGGUGACCGGCCACUCUGGAACGGGGCAACGGUCCAGACUCCUACGGGAGGCAGCAGUAGGGAAUCUUCGGCAAUGGGCGAAAGCCUGACGGAGCAACGCGGAGUGAGUGAUGAAGGUCUCCGGAUCGUAAAACUCUGUUAUUAGGGAAGAACAAGUGUGUAAGUAACUAUGCACGUCUUGACGGUACCUAAUCAGAAAGCGACGGCUAACUACGUG
Molecule: ribosomal RNA, 497 nt
Filed under: uncultured bacterium
Lineage: Bacteria
Description: partial 16S ribosomal RNA
Rfam family: Bacterial small subunit ribosomal RNA
Source: RNAcentral